GACGGGGCCCGCACAAGCGGUGGAGUAUGUGGUUUAAUUCGAUGCAACGCGAAGAACCUUACCUGGUCUUGACAUCCCGGAGACCCUUAGGGAACUAGGGGGUGCUUCCAUCUGGAAGAAUCUGGAGACAGGUGCUGCAUGGCUGUCGUCAGCUCGUGUCGUGAGAUGUUGGGUUAAGUCCCGCAACGAGCGCAACCCUUGCCUUUAGUUGCCAGCAGUUCGGCUGGGCACUCUAAAGGGACUGCCGGUGUUAAACCGGAGGAAGGUGGGGAUGACGUCAAGUCCUCAUGGCCUUUAUGACCAGGGCUACACACGUACUACAAUGGCCGAUACAAAGGGCAGCGACACUGCGAGGUGAAGCCAAUCCCGUAAAAUCGGUCUCAGUCCGGAUUGGAGUCUGCAACUCGACUCCAUGAAGUUGGAAUCGCUAGUAAUCGUGGAUCAGCAUGCCACGGUGAAUACGUUCCCGGGCCUU
Molecule: ribosomal RNA, 475 nt
Filed under: uncultured Desulfobulbus sp.
Lineage: Bacteria; Pseudomonadati; Thermodesulfobacteriota; Desulfobulbia; Desulfobulbales; Desulfobulbaceae
Description: bacterial SSU rRNA
Rfam family: Bacterial small subunit ribosomal RNA
Source: RNAcentral